RNAcentral lists this long non-coding RNA (131 nucleotides) under Cricetulus griseus (Chinese hamster). RNAcentral's name for it is "lncRNA (ENSCGRG00000024213.1)". Lineage: Eukaryota; Metazoa; Chordata; Mammalia; Rodentia; Cricetidae. The record is from RNAcentral.
CUGUCAGGGAGACCUGCAGGGGAACUACAGACUUAGUCUCUCAGCAGAUCUUGAUCUUUAAGAUUCAAAAGCGUUGCUAUUCCCCAAAAGUCAAUAUACUUUGUUAAUUUAAUACAACAUGUUGGGACAAC